Molecule: microRNA precursor, 144 nt
Filed under: Gossypium barbadense (sea-island cotton)
Lineage: Eukaryota; Viridiplantae; Streptophyta; Magnoliopsida; Malvales; Malvaceae
Also listed under: 1 other name
Description: MIR7502 microRNA precursor family
Rfam family: MIR7502 microRNA precursor family
Source: Rfam by way of RNAcentral
UGUUAAAAAUUUCAUUAAUUUCUAUUGUUAAAAACCGAUAUUGCUAAUGAAAUAAAUAGAUAAUCACACGUGACAUGCCACAUAUACCUAAUGAUGACAUAUAAAAACUAAUUUUUAAUAGUAAAAAUAGAUAAUUUUUUAAUA